GGGCGUUUGGCGCAGUGGCUAGCGCGUUCCGUUUGCAUCUAUGAAACUUCGGAAAGGUCGUGGGUUCGACUCCCACAUCGUCCA
This is a transfer RNA of 84 nucleotides. It matches the Rfam family "tRNA". From Rfam's summary of the family: Transfer RNA (tRNA) molecules are approximately 80 nucleotides in length. The record is from Rfam.